GCGAAAUUAUCAUUGCUAAUUUGAUAUUGUAUUCUUUCUAAGUAAGUUUAUUGUUUCUUUGUCAUUAUAAACGCAAAUAGCGUUCAGCAUCAUCGAUCUUUCACGUGACCUCUGGCCUGGAUUUAAAAUUUUUACCGGUAUUUUCGAGUGCAUGGCGGCACAAAUUCAUUCGUUCGUGCGCUCAGGCUGGUUGCUUCUUUUUCGCUAAAACUAGUUUGUUGCGCUUCGAUGUCACGCGUUAUUUAACCUGGGGUGAAGUGACGUGUUUGCAAGCGGACAUGCAAGCCCGAAAGUUGGGUAUCGGUCGUGAGCCAUUCGGAACACGUCUGCAUCGAAACGGGAGCUGGAUUCUGGUGCGGCUGACAACGGCAAUAACGACAUGCAGUAAUGAGGAUGGCACCAGUAUAAAGCAACACACUCCACACACUAAACAGAAGCUGCUGCCUGCUACAACAAGGCCAUUGUGUGGACAUUGGCUGCUACUACAAGGUAAACAACAUGUGGUUCAGAAAUAAGUAUGCCUGAUAUAUGCUGUAUUGUCUUGCUAGUCUUGAGAUACAUGUCAUUUGUUUGCAGCAGAAAUGAAUGUUUGCUCAUGUUUAUGGUUCAGUAUAAUUGGUUCGAACAUAAAAGAAAACACACAUGAGUUUGGCUAAUCUGUGCUGUAUCUCAUGUGUCACCGUUCUGCCCCAACAGAGUCCAUGCCAAGCAUACCUUGGUCAUCACAGGAGCUCCUAUCCACACCAACAGAAAGGGGCUGGAGCUGAAUUUGCAAGGCUUUUACACCACGAACAAAGAAGCGCAUGCAGAAGAACUUACAUGAGAUAUCAAGUCUGCAGAGCACUGUGUCAAGACUGAAAAGAGCUUCAGCCACCAUUCCACCAGCGCGGACAAAUUGGCUGAGUCAUCCAGGUAACUCAAAAAGGACUUUAUGGAAAUUCUUCGUCUCCAGAUGUGCCUGCAACUUCUGAUCAAGCACGGACGACGCUGGCCAAAAGAGUUCCAUCAGUUUGCCCUUAAUCAGCUUCCUGGCCAUGUCAAUUCCAUUUGUGCCAAGUGUAAUUUUUCUUCUAUAAAUGCAAGCUUUUUCAUUGUCCAUUCUUGUUAGAGAUCAUUCAUCCUCAUCCAAACAUAAAGGUCAACCGAUUCUUCGCUGAUACUUAAUACCAGUCACUGUCUAGUAGCAUAACAUAUUUGUAGCAGUACCUUUUAAUGCAUGUUGUCAUGCACAAUUCCUCUCCUGAAAUAGCUGAUGCAACAUCGACAUGUUUCUUGCAUUAACCUACGCACUGUUUGCUAUGCACCAUUUUACUUUUCUUGAUGUUUUUGGCCUUCAGUGCUUGCAGAGCAGGGUGGCUUCUCUCUUGAAUGCAAGCUUUCUCAUUUUCCAUAUUCCUAGUCUCGUUGAUGGUUGCUCUUCUUCCUCGAUAGCCUGGGUCUUUGCGCAAGCUACACUGAAUGAUAGAUUGCAGAAUCUGGUUUUGCUGCCCCACUUGGUUGUGGUCGCCGUGUUACAUUUCUCGGAUGUGGGGGCCUGCUCAGUUACAUUGGUAAGCAGUCUCUCGAGGUAAGCAUUUGCUCCUGCAGUCCGCACAGCGGCAUAGACUCCCAAUUUACACACCAUGAUUCGUACUCCCCGUUCAGCCUUUCCUGCUGCAGCCAUGUGCAAAUUGUGCCUGCGGCCUUUCUCAGUCGCAAUUAAGCACGAACGGAGACAAGCAUACGUGCUUACAUGGUCCAACGUGUUUGAAGUUCAUAGCCACAUGGGUGGAAAGGCCCGCAUAAAUGGCUGCCGAAGGUGAUGCCCACGAAAGCGACUUGUCCAUAUUGAGACAAAGUGGGACGCCAAAUGUGAGCCACACAUUAGUGGCCCUCGACAGAAAAGAAACAUGCGGGUUGGAAAGGAGUUAACGCUAAAAUGCCGGAUAGUCCAUUUCGCUGUGUUGGUUGUGGCAGCAGAUGCCUGCAUCACCUGAUUUCUUCGCAAUGGAAGUUGCUCAUCUUCAACGGCAACUGUCGGUUCAAACAGGUGCGACGCUCUGUCCAAUCUGUUUGUACUGCUGUUUGUCGCUCGUUACCAGACCACCACAUGCGACGAAGGCAAGCAUUAUGCCUGUAAGUAGGCGGCUGAAUGUAUCCUAAGAGACCCGUGUACGUGAAUGCUCACUGUUGCCAUAUGGUUUGUAGCCAAUGUAUAACGUAUUCUCUGAACACUAUGUGGUAAAUGAUUGCCGUUUAUUUUUGCUGCUAUCUCACUUGGUUACGGUCGCCGUAUUAUGCUUAUCGGAUGUGGGGGCCUGGUCAGUUGCAUUGGAAAACAGUCUCUCGAGGUAAGCAUUUGCUCCUGCAGUCCGCACAGCGACAUAGACUCCCAGUGUACACACACCAUAACUGGUGCUCCCCGUUCAUUUUUUCCUGUUGCAGCCAUGGGCAAAUUGUGCUUGUGGCCUACCUCGGCCAUGAUUUGCUCAAAACUGAGACCAGCAUAUGUGCUUACAUGGUUCGAAGUGUAUGAAGUUGAUAGCCGUACGGGGGCAAAUGGCUGCCAAAGGUGAUGCCCACGAAAGCGACUUGUCCAUAUUGAGACAAAGUGGGACGCCAAAUGUGAGCCACACAUUAGUGGCCCUCGACAGAAAAGAAACAUGCAGGUUGGAAAGGAGUUAACGCGAAAAUGCCGGAUAGUCCAUUUCGCUGUGUUGGUUGUGGCAGCAGAUGCCUGCAUCACCUGAUUUCUUCGCAAUGGAAGUUACUCAUCUUCAACGGCAACUGUCGGUUCAAACAGGUGCGACGCUCUGUCCAAUCUGUUUGUACUGCUGUUUGUCGCUCGUUACCAGACCACCACAUGCGACGAAGGCAAGCAUUAUGCCUGUAAGUAGGCGGCUGAAUGUAUCCUAAGAGACCCGUGUAUGUGAAUGCUCACUGUUGCCAUAUGGUUUGUAGCCAAUGUCUAACGUAUUCUCUGAACACUAUGUGGUGAAUGAUUGCCGUUUAUUUUUGCUGUUAUCUCACUUGGUUACGGUUGCCGUAUUAUGCUUAUCGGAUGUGGGGGCCUGGUCAGUUGCAUUGGAAAACAGUCUCUCGAGGUAAGCAUUUGCUCCUGCAGUCCGCACAGCGGCAUAGACUCCCAAUUUACACACCAAGAUUCGUGCUCCCCGUUCAGCCUUUCCUGCUGCAGCCAUGUGCAAAUUGUGCCUGCGGCCUUUCUCAGUCGCAAUUAAGCACGAACGGAGACAAGCAUACGUGCUUACAUGGUCCAACGUGUUUGAAGUUCAUAGCCGCAUGGGUGGAAAGGCCCGCAUAAAUGGCUGCCGAAGGUGAUGCCCACGAAAGCGACUUGUCCAUAUUGAGACAAAGUGGGACGCCAAAUGUGAGCCACACAUUAGUGGCCCUCGACAGAAAAGAAACAUGCAGGUUGGAAAGGAGUUAACGCUAAAAUGCCGGAUAGUCCAUUUCGCUGUGUUGGUUGUGGCAGCAGAUGCCUGCAUCACCUGAUUUCUUCGCAAUGGAAGUUGCUCAUCUUCAACGGCAACUGUCGGUUCAAACAGGUGCGACGCUCUGUCCAAUCUGUUUGUACUGCUGUUUGUCGCUCAUUACCAGACCACCACAUGCGACGAAGGCAAGCAUUAUGCCUGUAAGUAGGCGGCUGAAUGUAUCCUAAGAGACCCGUGUAUGUGAAUGCUCACUGUUGCCAUAUGGUUUGUAGCCAAUGUAUAACGUAUUCUCUGAACACUAUGUGGUGAAUGAUUGCCGUUUAUUUUUACUGUUAUCUCACUUGGUUACGGUCGCCGUGUUAUGCUUAUCGGAUGUGGCGGCCUGGUCAGUUGCACUGGAAAGCAGUUUCUCGAAGUAAGCAUUUGCUCCUGCAAUCUGCACAGCGACAUAGACUCCCAAUUUACACACCGCGAUUCGUGCUCCCCGUUCACGUCCAGCCUUUCCUGCUGCAGCCAUGGGCAAAUUGUGCCUGUUGCCUUUCUCGGCCGCGAUUAAGCACGAACGGAGACCGGCAUACGUGCUUACAUGGUCCGACGUGUGUGAAGUUGGGUGCAAAGGCCCGCAAAAGUGGCUGAUGAAGGUGAUGCCCACGAAAGCGACUUGUCCAUAUUGAGACAAUGUGGGACACCAAGUGCGAGCCACACAUUAGCGGCCUCCGAAAGAAAAGUAACGUGCAGGUUGUAAAGGAGUUAAGGCUAAAAUGCCGGGUAGUCCAUGUCGCUGUGUUGGCUGCGGCAGCAGAUGCCUGGUUCACCCGAUUGUUUCGCAGUGCAAGUUGCUCAUCUUUAACGGCGACUGCCGCAGCAAACAGGCGGGACACUGACCAAUCUGCAUGAGCCGCUGGUUGUCGCUCGUUACUAGACCGCCAUGUGUGACGACGACGGUGAGCCGUUUACGAGCUCGCGUCAAAGAUUCCAGUGUAUCUCGACAUACAAAUUUUAUUUCUGCUAUUGCACGAGAAUGUACAUACACUGCUUGUCUUCUGCCAAUAAAGUCGCACGUUCUGUUCA
Dermacentor andersoni is the source of this 4502-nucleotide non-coding RNA. Lineage: Eukaryota; Metazoa; Arthropoda; Arachnida; Ixodida; Ixodidae. The record is from RefSeq and is a predicted model, not a curated record.